CACGUAGGGUGCGAGCGUUGUCCGGAAUUAUUGGGCGUAAAGAGCUCGUAGGCGGUGUGUCACGUCGGCCGUGAAAACCUGCAGCUUAACUGUGGGCGUGCGGUCGAUACGGGCAUCACUGGAGUUCGGCAGGGGAGACUGGAAUUCCUGGUGUAGCGGUGAAAUGCGCAGAUAUCAGGAGGAACACCGGUGGCGAAGGCGGAUCUCUGGGCCUUACCUGACGCUCAGGUGCGAAAGCUAGGGGAGCGAACAGG
Molecule: ribosomal RNA, 254 nt
Filed under: uncultured bacterium
Lineage: Bacteria
Description: partial 16S ribosomal RNA
Rfam family: Bacterial small subunit ribosomal RNA
Source: RNAcentral